RNAcentral lists this ribosomal RNA (253 nucleotides) under uncultured bacterium. RNAcentral describes it as "partial 16S ribosomal RNA". It matches the Rfam family "Bacterial small subunit ribosomal RNA", at positions 524 to 776 of the family's 1533-position model. The record is from RNAcentral.
UACGGGGGGGGCAAGCGUUGUUCGGAAUUACUGGGCGUAAAGGGCUCGUAGGUGGCCAACUAAGUCAGACGUGAAAUCCCUCGGCUUAACCGGGGAACUGCGUCUGAUACUGGACGGCUUGAGUUUGGGAGAGGGACGCGGAAUUCCAGGUGUAGCGGUGAAAUGCGUAGAUAUCUGGAGGAACACCGGUGGCGAAGGCGACAUCCUGGACCGGUAUUGACGCUGAGGCGCGAAAGCCAGGGGAGCAAACGGG